UACGUAGGGUGCGAGCGUUAAUCGGAAUUACUGGGCGUAAAGCGUGCGCAGGCGGUUUUGUAAGCCAGAUGUGAAAUCCCCGGGCUUAACCUGGGAAUGGCAUUUGGGACUGCAAGGCUGGAGUGCGGCAGAGGAGACUGGAAUUCCUGGUGUAGCAGUGAAAUGCGUAGAUAUCAGGAGGAACACCGAUGGCGAAGGCAAUCCCCUGGGCCUGCACUGACGCUCAUGCACGAAAGCGUGGGGAGCAAACAGG
RNAcentral lists this ribosomal RNA (253 nucleotides) under uncultured bacterium. RNAcentral's name for it is "partial 16S ribosomal RNA". It matches the Rfam family "Bacterial small subunit ribosomal RNA", at positions 524 to 776 of the family's 1533-position model. The record is from RNAcentral.